RNAcentral lists this ribosomal RNA (414 nucleotides) under Peribacillus cavernae. RNAcentral's name for it is "bacterial SSU rRNA". It matches the Rfam family "Bacterial small subunit ribosomal RNA", at positions 507 to 919 of the family's 1533-position model. The record is from RNAcentral. Lineage: Bacteria; Bacillati; Bacillota; Bacilli; Caryophanales; Bacillaceae.
GCCAGCAGCCGCGGUAAUACGUAGGUGGCAAGCGUUGUCCGGAAUUAUUGGGCGUAAAGCGCGCGCAGGCGGUCCUUUAAGUCUGAUGUGAAAGCCCACGGCUCAACCGUGGAGGGUCAUUGGAAACUGGGGGACUUGAGUGCAGAAGAGGAGAGUGGAAUUCCACGUGUAGCGGUGAAACGCGUAGAGAUGUGGAGGAACACCAGUGGCGAAGGCGACUCUCUGGUCUGUAACUGACGCUGAGGCGCGAAAGCGUGGGGAGCGAACAGGAUUAGAUACCCUGGUAGUCCACGCCGUAAACGAUGAGUGCUAAGUGUUAGAGGGUUUCCGCCCUUUAGUGCUGCAGCAAACGCAUUAAGCACUCCGCCUGGGGAGUACGGCCGCAAGGCUGAAACUCAAAGGAAUUGACGGGGG